UACCAGCACCCCGAGUGGUCGGGACGUUUAUUGGGCCUAAAGCAUCCGUAGCCGGUUCUACAAGUCUUCCGUUAAAUCCACCUGCUUAACAGAUGGGCUGCGGAAGAUACUAUAGAGCUAGGAGGCGGGAGAGGCAAGCGGUACUCGAUGGGUAGGGGUAAAAUCCGUUGAUCCAUUGAAGACCACCAGUGGCGAAGGCAAUUGACUAUUCCAUUUCUGACGUUGAGGCAUGAAAGCGUGGGGAGCAAACCGG
Molecule: ribosomal RNA, 253 nt
Filed under: uncultured bacterium
Lineage: Bacteria
Description: partial 16S ribosomal RNA
Rfam family: Archaeal small subunit ribosomal RNA
Source: RNAcentral